CCUUAGACUUGGAAUUAACAGGCUAAAGGACAUGCCCACGCAUGCAGGUUUUAAGGGCUUUGCAUGCCUGGCCUCCGGGAGAUCCUGUCAUUUCCUGUGACCAGCAGCAACGUGGGUGGGACCCAGGAAGCACUGUCUCCUUUAAGUUCUGGGGAUGGGACCCAAGGCCUUGAGCAUGCCAGGUCUGGAGGCUGAGAAGUUCAAGAUCAAUGUGCUGCAGAGUCCGGUGAGGCAGCUCUUGGCUUGAAAGAUGGCACCUUGCUGGCACCUCCUCCAGAGGGAACGAAUGCUACAUCUUCACAUGGCGGAAGGGCAACCCUGCGUGAAGUGGCAGUUCUGUGCCAGUCUGCAGCCCUGGAUGGCUUUGCGUUGCUUAAGGAUAAACAGGUUGGAGUUGCAUAUGGUCAACAUUUUUUGUGGAUCGAACUUGGGUCCUUCCACUUGCGAGGCAGGUGGCAGAACCACCGAGCUAUGGCCAAACUGGUCUUCAAGCCAAGAUAUGAAUUUGCACCCAACCAACUGGACCCCGACCUUCAAAUUUAUUCCUAUGCCAGAAACCCUAGUGCCCUGCUGUUUCCUGAGGAAGUGCAGCCCUGUCAGAGGUCUUGACAUUCCGAGGAGCAUGGUUUCCUGGAGCUGCUUGCUACCGGGGUGAACUGGUCUGGCUGGGAUAUUUCUGGAGGGCCCUUGUUUCUUUUGCGGGGAGCCCCAGUGGUGCUUGGGCAGCUGAGGGAGCCUGGCUGUCCAUCAAAUGUUUCCUGCUUUCCAGCCAGUACUCAGGUUCCCCAUGAGGUCUCCUCCACUGCCUGUGGCUGUGCAUGCCAACAGCUCCCAGUCCCUGGGACACUUGGCCUCCUGCCAGUCCCACCCAAGAUUGCUCCAUCAAUUUUCUGGGAGUGGGCUCAGCAGAUUUAUAGGCAUAAAAUUUGUUUUUGCUUAAUAACAUGUUCGUAGUGAAGCAUUUUUGUGCUUGUGUGCUCUGACAAAGCAAAGUGUUGCAGCAAAAAGGAGGCAAAUUUCUUUGAAAUUAGGAUAUUCAAAGUAACUACUCAACUUGGGCCUUUUGAUAUUGCCUUAAGAAAUCUGUUUUGCCCAUAAAAUCAUGUCUUCGCUUUUGGCACCAUUCUGUUGCCAUUUAUUCCAAUUUUCAAAUAGCAACUGCUUCCACUUUCCUUUCUGUAAUUCAAAAUAGGAAUCUUUAAGGCCCUGGAAAAUCGUUUUUAUAAUAUCCUAAAGUGAAAAUACUCGCAAAUGUGUACUUUUUAGAGCAAGCGUAAAUUUUAAAUUCAGGACUAAAGUAACCUUUUAUGUGUGAUCUUGUCUGUAUUGUAAAUCACAGAGGGGUUUUUUCUCUGUUCUUUGAGAAGGUUGAGACUGCUCUGUAUUUCAGAAGGUUGGAACUGCUGGUGGGGGCUGC
Molecule: long non-coding RNA, 1417 nt
Organism: Heterocephalus glaber (naked mole-rat)
Lineage: Eukaryota; Metazoa; Chordata; Mammalia; Rodentia; Bathyergidae
Source: Ensembl